AUUGAACGCUGGCGGCAGGCCUAACACAUGCAAGUCGAACGGUAGCACAGAGAGCUUGCUCUCGGGUGACGAGUGGCGGACGGGUGAGUAAUGUCUGGGAAACUGCCCGAUGGAGGGGGAUAACUACUGGAAACGGUAGCUAAUACCGCAUAAUGUCGCAAGACCAAAGAGGGGGACCUUCGGGCCUCUUGCCAUCGGAUGUGCCCAGAUGGGAUUAGCUUGUUGGUGAGGUAAUGGCUCACCAAGGCGACGAUCCCUAGCUGGUCUGAGAGGAUGACCAGCCACACUGGAACUGAGACACGGUCCAGACUCCUACGGGAGGCAGCAGUGGGGAAUAUUGCACAAAGGGCGCAAGCCUGAUGCAGCCAUGCCGCGUGUGUGAAGAAGGCCUUCGGGUUGUAAAGCACUUUCAGCGGGGAGGAAGGCGAUACGGUUAAUAACCGUGUUGAUUGACGUUACCCGCAGAAGAAGCACCGGCUAACUCCGUG
RNAcentral lists this ribosomal RNA (488 nucleotides) under uncultured bacterium. RNAcentral describes it as "partial 16S ribosomal RNA". It matches the Rfam family "Bacterial small subunit ribosomal RNA", at positions 30 to 507 of the family's 1533-position model. The record is from RNAcentral.